Molecule: long non-coding RNA, 465 nt
Filed under: Mus musculus (house mouse)
Lineage: Eukaryota; Metazoa; Chordata; Mammalia; Rodentia; Muridae
Description: long non-coding RNA chr6:144528700-144529165
Source: RNAcentral
AGAGGAGCCUGGCAUGGCUGUCCUUUGAGAAACUCUACCAGCAGCUGACUGAGACAGAUACGUAUACUUAUAGCCAACCAUUGGACCUCUGUAGAAGAGUUGGAGGAAGGAUUGAAGGAGUUGAAGGGACUGGCAAUCCUGUCGAAAGACCAACAGGGUCAACUGACCUGGACCCCUGGAGGCUCCCAGAGACUAAGCCACCAACCAAAGAGUGUACAUGGGCUGAUUUGAGGCCCCUGACACUUAUGUAGUAGAGGACUGCCUUGUCUGGCCUAAGUGGGAGAUGAUACAGCUAAUACUGUAGAGACUUGAUGCCCAAGGGAGGGGGGAUGCCCAAGAGGGGCCCCCUCUCAGAGGCAAAGGGGAGGGGCAUGAGAGAAGAACUCUGUGAGGGGUGAUGUGAACGGAGGAAACAUUUGGGAUGUAAACAAAUAAGUAAUUAAUAAUAAUAAAACAGAAGAUAUU